GUGGGGAAUUUUGGACAAUGGGCGCAAGCCUGCUCCAGCAAUGCCGCGUGUGUGAAGAAGGCCUUCGGGUUGUAAAGCACUUUUGUCCGGAAAGAAAUGGCCUGGGUUAAUACCCCGGGUCGAUGACGGUACCGGAAGAAUAAGCACCGGCUAACUACGUGCCAGCAGCCGCGGUAAUACGUAGGGUGCGAGCGUUAAUCGGAAUUACUGGGCGUAAAGCGUGCGCAGGCGGCGAUGAAAGACAGAUGUGAAAUCCCCGGGCUCAACCUGGGAACUGCAUUUGGGACUGCAUGGCUAGAGUGCGUCAGAGGGGGGUGGAAUUCCGCGUGUAGCAGUGAAAUGCGUAGAUAUGCGGAGGAACAACGAUGGCGAAGGCAAUCCCCUGGGCCUGCACUGACGCUCAUGCACGAAAGCGUGGGGAGCAAACAGGAUUAGAUACCCGGGUAGUCC
RNAcentral lists this ribosomal RNA (450 nucleotides) under uncultured bacterium. Its description in RNAcentral is "partial 16S ribosomal RNA". It matches the Rfam family "Bacterial small subunit ribosomal RNA", at positions 354 to 796 of the family's 1533-position model. The record is from RNAcentral.